CUAAGAAUAUUCCGCAAUGGACGGAAGUCUGACGGAGCGACGCCGCGUGGAUGACGAAGGCCGAAAGGUUGUAAAGUUCUUUUGCUGGGGAAGAAUAACCGCAGGAGGGAAUGCCUGUGGGAUGACAAGAACCGGCGAAUAAGCCCCGGCCAACUACGUGCCAGCAGCCGCGGUAACACGUAGGGGGCGAGCGUUGUUCGGAAUUACUGGGCGUAAAGGGCAUGUAGGCGGCUUGGAAAGCCUGGCGUGAAAGUCUGCAGCUUAACUGCAGGGGUGCGCUGAGAACUGCUGAGCUUGAGUGACGGAGAGGGAGCUGGAAUUCCUGGUGUAGGGGUGAAAUCUGUAGAUAUCAGGAAGAACACCGAUGGCGAAGGCAAGCUCCUGGCCGAUGACUGACGCUGAGGUGCGAAAGUGUGGGGAUCAAACA
RNAcentral lists this ribosomal RNA (427 nucleotides) under uncultured bacterium. RNAcentral describes it as "bacterial SSU rRNA". It matches the Rfam family "Bacterial small subunit ribosomal RNA", at positions 355 to 774 of the family's 1533-position model. The record is from RNAcentral.